This 496-nucleotide ribosomal RNA is filed under the name uncultured bacterium. RNAcentral's name for it is "partial 16S ribosomal RNA". It matches the Rfam family "Bacterial small subunit ribosomal RNA", at positions 28 to 506 of the family's 1533-position model. The record is from RNAcentral.
GAUGAACGCUGGCGGCGUGCCUAAUACAUGCAAGUCGAGCGGAAGGACGAGAAGCUUGCUGCUCGGAUGUUAGCGGCGGACGGGUGAGUAACACGUGGAUAACCUACCUAUAAGACUGGGAUAACUUCGGGAAACCGGAGCUAAUACCGGAGGAGAUUUUGAACCGCAUGGGGCAAAAGUGAAAGACGGUCUUGCGGUCACUAAUAGAUGGAUCCGCGCUGCAUUAGCUAGUUGGUAAGGUAACGGCUUACCAAGGCAAGGAUGCAUGGCCGACCUGAGAGGGUGAUCGGCCACACUGGAACUGAGACACGGUCCAGACUCCUACGGGAGGCAGCAGUAGGGAAUCUUCCGCAAUGGGCGAAAGCCUGACGGAGCAACGCCGCGUGAGUGAUGAAGGUCUUCGGAUCGUAAAACUCUGUUAUUAGGGAAGAACAUAUGUGUAAGUAACUGUGCACAUCUUGACGGUACCUAAUCAGAAAGCCCCGCCUAACUACGU